GACGAACGCUGGCGGCGUGCUUAACACAUGCAAGUCGAGCGGUAAGGCCCUUUCGGGGGUACGACGAGCGGCGAACGGGUGAGUAACACGUGGGUGACCUGCCCUCAGCUCUGGGAUAAGCCCGGGAAACUGGGUCUAAUACCGGAUAUGACUCCAUGACGCAUGUUGUGGGGUGGAAANCCUUGUGCGGCUGAGGAUGGGCCCGCGCCUAUCAGCUUGUUGGUGGGGUGAUGGCCCACCAAGGCGACGACGGGUAGCCGGCCUGAGAGGGCGACCGGCC
This 280-nucleotide ribosomal RNA is filed under the name uncultured bacterium. RNAcentral's name for it is "partial 16S ribosomal RNA". It matches the Rfam family "Bacterial small subunit ribosomal RNA", at positions 28 to 309 of the family's 1533-position model. The record is from RNAcentral.